RNAcentral lists this ribosomal RNA (253 nucleotides) under uncultured bacterium. RNAcentral describes it as "partial 16S ribosomal RNA". It matches the Rfam family "Bacterial small subunit ribosomal RNA", at positions 524 to 776 of the family's 1533-position model. The record is from RNAcentral.
UACGGGGGGGGCAAGCGUUGUUCGGAAUUACUGGGCGUAAAGGGCUCGUAGGUGGCCAACUAAGUCAGACGUGAAAUCCCUCGGCUUAACCGGGGAACUGCGUCUGAUACUGGAUGGCUUGAGUUUGGGAGAGGGAUGCGGAAUUCCAGGUGUAGCGGUGAAAUGCGUAGAUAUCUGGAGGAACACCGGUGGCGAAGGCGGUUCUCUGGGCCUUACCUGACGCUGAGGAGCGAAAGCGUGGGGAGCGAACAGG